UUUUUGGCUUUGGAAAGUGUUUAGUUUUUUCUAUGUUUUACAUGAGAGUUUCAGCUUUCCAAUAUUUUGAGUAGCUCUUAAAGAGUUUUGGUGUAGCUUCAGUGAAAAGUAUUAAUUGUUUCAAAUAAUUUUGGAUUUAGAAAUAGAAGUAAGACAAGGCUAAUUGUGUGCCAGCUGCUGCGGUUAUACAUUUUUUUCUAAUUAAAUUUUUUGGGAGAAAAUAAGUUUAAGGAAAAGGGGUUGGAGAAAAUUUUUUUGUUUUUCGGUAAAAUGAAAAUUUUUUUUUUUUAGUUCUCUGGGUGUUGAUUUAUGGCUUUAAAGUUUUAAGCAAAAACUGGGAUUAGAUACCCCAUUAUUUUAAAAUUAUAAUUUUUGUCCUAGGUAUUAUUGUUGUUAAAAACCUAAAAAGCUUGGCGGUUCUUUAUAUCCUUUUAGGGGAGCUUGUUCUGUAAUUGAUAAUCCUCGUUUUAUUUUACUUUUUCUACUUGUUUGUAUACUUCUGUCGUCAGCUUACUUUUUAGAACGUUAAAGUUGGCUUUAGAGCUUAUGCUUUUACGUCAAGUCAAAGUGCAGCUUAUGGAAAAGAAGAGAUGAGCUACAUUUGGUUAAUUUUUUGGAUAAAAAUUGAAAAUUUUUUUGAAAUUGGACUUAAUAGUAAACUAUUUUUAGAGAGGUUGUUUGAAUUAGGCUUGAAGUGUGCACAAAUCGCCCGUCGCUCUUUCUGAUAAGAAAGAUAAGUCGUAACAUAGUAGUUGUAACGGAAGUUGCUGCUAGUUU
RNAcentral lists this non-coding RNA (777 nucleotides) under Amphiporus formidabilis. The record is from RNAcentral. Lineage: Eukaryota; Metazoa; Nemertea; Enopla; Monostilifera; Amphiporidae.